CGCUACGGACUUAAAAUCCG
Molecule: transfer RNA, 20 nt
Filed under: Cayaponia quinqueloba
Lineage: Eukaryota; Viridiplantae; Streptophyta; Magnoliopsida; Cucurbitales; Cucurbitaceae
Description: partial tRNA-Leu
Source: RNAcentral